GUAAAGCUCCUUAGGGCUUGGGUUUAUCAAUGAAAAUUAGGGAUUUGAAUUUGAAGAUAAUUGGCUAGGUUUCUUGCCCAUAGGGUUGUGAUUUCCUAUAUCUAUGAGGUUAGGGUUUCAGAGGUUUUUUCAGGGACCAUUAUAGAAUUACUGGUAAAAAAUUUUAUUUGGACCAUAACUUUCAAACGACGAAUCGGAUUCAGAAAAUUCUUGGACC
RNAcentral lists this long non-coding RNA (217 nucleotides) under Amborella trichopoda. RNAcentral's name for it is "long non-coding RNA (ATRI_LNC003804)". The record is from RNAcentral. Lineage: Eukaryota; Viridiplantae; Streptophyta; Magnoliopsida; Amborellales; Amborellaceae.